Molecule: ribosomal RNA, 497 nt
Filed under: uncultured bacterium
Lineage: Bacteria
Description: partial 16S ribosomal RNA
Rfam family: Bacterial small subunit ribosomal RNA
Source: RNAcentral
GAUGAACGCUGGCGGCGUGCCUAAUACAUGCAAGUCGAGCGAACAGACGAGGAGCUUGCUCCUCUGACGUUAGCGGCGGACGGGUGAGUAACACGUGGAUAACCUACCUAUAAGACUGGGAUAACUUCGGGAAACCGGUGCUAAUACCGGAUAAUAUAUUGAACCGCAUGGUUCAAUAGUUAAAGACGGUUUUGCUGUCACUUAUAGAUGGAUCCGCGCCGCAUUAGCUAGUUGGUAAGGUAACGGCUUACCAAGGCAACGAUGCGUAGCCGACCUGAGAGGAUGAUCGGCCACACUGGAACUGAGACACGGUCCAGACUCCUACGGGAGGCAGCAGUAGGGAAUCUUCCGCAAUGGGCGAAAGCCUGACGGAGCCACGCCGCGUGAGUGAUGAAGGUCUUCGGAUCGUAAAACUCUGUUAUUAGGGAAGAACAAAUGUGUAAGUAACUAUGCACGUCUUGACGGUACCUAAUCAGAAAGCCACGGCUAACUACGUG